CCUACGGGGGGCUGCAGUGGGGAAUCUUAGACAAUGGGGGAAACCCUGAUCUAGCCAUGCCGCGUGAUCGAUGAAGGCCUUAGGGUUGUAAAGAUCUUUCAGUUGGGAAGAUAAUGACGGUACCCACAGAAGAAGCACCGGCUAACUCCGUGCCAGCAGCCGCGGUAAUACGGAGGGGGCUAGCGUUAUUCGGAAUUACUGGGCGUAAAGCGCACGUAGGCGGACUGGAAAGUCAGAGGUGAAAUCCCAGGGCUCAACUUUGGAACUGCCUUUGAAACGCUCAGUCUUGAUAUCGAGAGAGGUGAGUGGAAUUCCGAGUGUAGAGGUGAAAUUCGUAGAUAUUCGGAGGAACACCAGUGGCGAAGGCGGCUCACUGGCUCGAUACUGACGCUGAGGUGCGAAAGCGUGGGGAGCAAACAGGAUUAGAUACCCGGGUAGUC
This 440-nucleotide ribosomal RNA is filed under the name Escherichia coli. RNAcentral's name for it is "bacterial SSU rRNA". It matches the Rfam family "Bacterial small subunit ribosomal RNA", at positions 338 to 795 of the family's 1533-position model. The record is from RNAcentral. Lineage: Bacteria; Pseudomonadati; Pseudomonadota; Gammaproteobacteria; Enterobacterales; Enterobacteriaceae.